RNAcentral lists this ribosomal RNA (535 nucleotides) under uncultured bacterium. RNAcentral's name for it is "partial 16S ribosomal RNA". It matches the Rfam family "Bacterial small subunit ribosomal RNA", at positions 355 to 883 of the family's 1533-position model. The record is from RNAcentral.
UGGGGAAUUUUGGACAAUGGGCGAAAGCCUGAUCCAGCAAUGCCGCGUGUGUGAAGAAGGCCUUCGGGUUGUAAAGCACUUUUGUCCGGAAAGAAAUCCUUGGCUCUAAUACAGUCGGGGGAUGACGGUACCGGAAGAAUAAGCACCGGCUAACUACGUGCCAGCAGCCGCGGUAAUACGUAGGGUGCAAGCGUUAAUCGGAAUUACUGGGCGUAAAGCGUGCGCAGGCGGUUUGCUAAGACCGAUGUGAAAUCCCCGGGCUCAACCUGGGAACUGCAUUGGUGACUGGCAGGCUAGAGUAUGGCAGAGGGGGGUAGAAUUCCACGUNUAGCAGUUGAAAUGCGUAGAGAUGUGGAGGAAUACCGAUGGCGAAGGCAGCCCCCUGGGCAAUACUGACGCUCAUGCACGAAAGCGUGGGGAGCAAACAGGAUUAGAUACCCUGGUAGUCCACGCCCUAAACGAUGUCAACUAGUUGUUGGGGAUUCAUUUCCUUAGUAACGUAGCUAACGCGUGAAGUUGACCGCCUGGGGAGUAC